Molecule: ribosomal RNA, 439 nt
Filed under: uncultured bacterium
Lineage: Bacteria
Description: partial 16S ribosomal RNA
Rfam family: Bacterial small subunit ribosomal RNA
Source: RNAcentral
CUACGGGGCGCUGCAGUGAGGAAUAUUGCACAAUGGGGGGAACCCUGAUGCAGCAACGCCGCGUGGAGGAUGACGCAUUUCGGUGUGUAAACUCCUUUUAUAUGUCAAGAAAAUGACGGUAGCAUAUGAAUAAGCACCGGCUAACUCCGUGCCAGCAGCCGCGGUAAUACGGAGGGUGCAAGCGUUACUCGGAAUCACUGGGCGUAAAGGGCGCGUAGGCGGGUUGGAAAGUCAGGUGUGAAAUCCUACAGCUUAACUGUAGAACUGCACUUGAAACUUCUAAUCUAGAGUAUGGGAGGGGGAGAUGGAAUUAGGGGUGUAGGGGUAAAAUCCGUAGAUAUCACUAGGAAUACCUAAAGCGAAGGCGAUCUCCUGGAACAUUACUGACGCUAAGGCGUGAAAGCGUGGGGAGCAAACAGGAUUAGAUACCCCAGUAGUC